This 73-nucleotide transfer RNA is filed under the name Marmota monax (woodchuck). Its description in RNAcentral is "tRNA.Ala". The record is from RNAcentral. Lineage: Eukaryota; Metazoa; Chordata; Mammalia; Rodentia; Sciuridae.
GUGGGGUUGUGGUUCAGUGGUAGAGUGCUCACCUAGCAUGCAUGAGGCACUGGGUUCAAUACUCAGCACCACA